GAAACAGACACAGAAAAGCCCAUUUGUAACUAUUGUUUUCAAAUAAAGGCAAGAUUUUUUUUUCUUCUGUGUGGUCAGUUUUACUGCAAGAUCUAGGAACCUAAACACACUGGAUUCUUGGCUUUGUUGAUGACAUGUAGUUUUGUCAAAGCACUUUUUCUUAUACCUUUUACCACCUAUUCCUGGUUCAUGUACUUAUGUAACACAUAAUCACUGAUUACAAAAAUAUUUUGUGACCUUUGGUUACAGUGUUCUAAGGACUAAUUACUAGAAAAUCCAUCAUGACAAAGUGAAUAUUCAAUCCAUUUAAGCAAAUUUACCAUAAUAUCAAGCCUCAUGUCUCAUAAAUUAAUAUUACUCUUAGCACUCUGAAAACUAGUAUCUUAUAUUCAAAAACCCUGAAUAUUAGCUUAUUUUUAUAAGACUCUUGAGAUAAAAAGAAAAUCUCGUGGAAUGUGAACACCAAACCCAUAAGGGAGGUCCAGUUAUUAUCCUGAUUUUACAGAUAAGGAAAGUGAUACGUAAGUUCAGUAAGUUGCUCCUGGUCACAUGGCAAACAAGUAGUAGAACCGGCAUUUGAACCAGCAGGUCUGUCAGAUUCCUGAGUGUAUGUGUCUAACAAUCAUGUGUCCAACCUGCUCCCCAACCCCAACUAAUCUGUAAGCUCCGUGGAGGCAAGAUGUGGUAUCCCUGGUGCCUUUGCUGAGCAAAUGAGUGACUAACAAGUGAGGACUAAAGUGAUGCUUAUUACUAAGCAUUUACAGCUGAGCUUGUAUUUCUAAGCCUCGUCUGAAUUUUGCUUUGUAAGUUUCCUUUCUUAUACGAUGUAAGGGAGUUAAGAUUUUGAUAAACAAAAAGAUGCCAUUGAAAGCUCAUGCACUAAUAGAUAGUUCAAGGAAUAGAUUCCUUCCUGUAAUCCCAGGUACUUAGGAGGCUGAGAUGUGAGGAUCACUUGAGGCCAGGGGUUUAAGACCAGCCUGGGCAACACAGCAAGACCCCAUCUCUAAAAAACUAAAAAAAAAAAUUAGCCAGGCAUGGUGGCACACGCUUAUAAUCCUGGCUACUUCAGAAGCUGA
RNAcentral lists this long non-coding RNA (1076 nucleotides) under Homo sapiens (human). Its description in RNAcentral is "non-protein coding lnc-SPATA7-2:1". Lineage: Eukaryota; Metazoa; Chordata; Mammalia; Primates; Hominidae. The record is from RNAcentral.